CUCAGACCGCAGCGUCGGCCGAGAGGACGCCGGGAUACUGGCCAGCUCCAAGUCGAAAGGAAGCGACGCAUGAGUUGUUUGGUGCGAAUUUUAAACGGAAGAACGCAGAAGAAUUCUCUUUAUGUUACCUUUAUUUAGCAACAAAUCAACUUGACUCAACUGAUACUUACUGAGUGCCUUUAAAGGAUGUGCUGAAACAGGUGGUGACUUUUCAAAUAAAAAUUCAGAGCCACAGGGAGAAAGUUGCAAUGUGGAACCAUCAACAUAU
This 268-nucleotide long non-coding RNA is filed under the name Homo sapiens (human). RNAcentral describes it as "HSALNT0326366". Lineage: Eukaryota; Metazoa; Chordata; Mammalia; Primates; Hominidae. The record is from RNAcentral.